GACGAACGCUGGCGGCGUGCCUAAUACAUGCAAGUAGAACGCACAGUUUAUACCGUAGCUUGCUACACCAUAGACUGUGAGUUGCGAACGGGUGAGUAACGCGUAGGUAACCUGCCUGGUAGCGGGGGAUAACUAUUGGAAACGAUAGCUAAUACCGCAUAAUAUUAAUUAUUGCAUGAUAAUUAAUUGAAAGGUGCAAUUGCACCACUACCAGAUGGACCUGCGUUGUAUUAGCUAGUAGGUGAGGUAACGGCUCACCUAGGCGACGAUACAUAGCCGACCUGAGAGGGUGAUCGGCCACACUGGGACUGAGACACGGCCCAGACUCCUACGAGAGGCAGCAGUAGGGAAUCUUCGGCAAUGGACGAAAGUCUGACCGAGCAACGCCGCGUGAGUGAAGAAGGUUUUCGGAUCGUAAAGCUCUGUUGUAAGAGAAGAACGGGUGUGAGAGUGGAAAGUUCACACUGUGACGGUAUCUUACCAGAAAGGGACGGCUAACUACGUG
This 505-nucleotide ribosomal RNA is filed under the name uncultured bacterium. Its description in RNAcentral is "partial 16S ribosomal RNA". It matches the Rfam family "Bacterial small subunit ribosomal RNA", at positions 28 to 507 of the family's 1533-position model. The record is from RNAcentral.